AACGAACGCUGGCGGCAUGCCUAACACAUGCAAGUCGAACGAGACCUUCGGGUCUAGUGGCGCACGGGUGCGUAACGCGUGGGAACCUGCCCUUAGGUUCGGAAUAACUCCCCGAAAGGGGUGCUAAUACCGGAUAAUGUCUUCGGACCAAAGAUUUAUCGCCUUUGGAUGGGCCCGCGUUGGAUUAGCUAGUUGGUAGGGUAAAAGCCUACCAAGGCGACGAUCCAUAGAUGGUCUGAGAGGAUGAUCAGCCACACUGGGACUGAGACACGGCCCAGACUACUACGGGAGGCAGCAGUGGGGAAUAUUGGACAAUGGGCGAAAGCCUGAUCCAGCAAUGCCGCGUGAGUGAUGAAGGCCUUAGGGUUGUAAAGCUCUUUUACCCGGGAUGAUAAUGACAGUACCGGGAGAAUAAGCUCCGGCUAACUCCGUG
RNAcentral lists this ribosomal RNA (433 nucleotides) under uncultured bacterium. RNAcentral's name for it is "partial 16S ribosomal RNA". It matches the Rfam family "Bacterial small subunit ribosomal RNA", at positions 29 to 507 of the family's 1533-position model. The record is from RNAcentral.